CCUACGGGGGGCUGCAGUGGGGAAUAUUGGACAAUGGGGGGAACCCUGAUCCAGCCAUGCCGCGUGUGUGAAGAAGGCCCUCGGGUUGUAAAGCACUUUCAGUGAGGAAGAACGCCUGGUGGUGAAUACCCAUCAGGAAAGACAUCACUCACAGAAGAAGCACCGGCUAACUCCGUGCCAGCAGCCGCGGUAAUACGGAGGGUGCGAGCGUUAAUCGGAAUUACUGGGCGUAAAGCGCGCGUAGGUGGCUUGAUAAGCCGGUUGUGAAAGCCCCGGGCUCAACCUGGGAACGGCAUCCGGAACUGUCAAGCUAGAGUGCAGGAGAGGAAGGUAGAAUUCCCGGUGUAGCGGUGAAAUGCGUAGAGAUCGGGAGGAAUACCAGUGGCGAAGGCGGCCUUCUGGACUGACACUGACACUGAGGUGCGAAAGCGUGGGUAGCAAACAGGAUUAGAUACCCUAGUAGUC
Molecule: ribosomal RNA, 465 nt
Filed under: Vreelandella stevensii
Lineage: Bacteria; Pseudomonadati; Pseudomonadota; Gammaproteobacteria; Oceanospirillales; Halomonadaceae
Description: partial 16S ribosomal RNA
Rfam family: Bacterial small subunit ribosomal RNA
Source: RNAcentral